GUACUUACUCCUACGGGAGGCAGCAGUGGGGAAUAUUGCACAAUGGGCGCAAGCCUGAUGCAGCGACGCCGCGUGGGGGAUGACGGCCUUCGGGUUGUAAACUCCUUUCGCUAGGGACGAAGCGCAAGUGACGGUACCUGGAGAAGAAGCACCGGCUAACUACGUGCCAGCAGCCGCGGUAAUACGUAGGGUGCGAGCGUUGUCCGGAAUUACUGGGCGUAAAGAGCUCGUAGGUGGUUUGUCGCGUCGUUUGUGUAAGCCCGCAGCUUAACUGCGGGACUGCAGGCGAUACGGGCAUAACUUGAGUGCUGUAGGGGAGACUGGAAUUCCUGGUGUAGCGGUGGAAUGCGCAGAUAUCAGGAGGAACACCGAUGGCGAAGGCAGGUCUCUGGGCAGUAACUGACGCUGAGGAGCGAAAGCAUGGGUAGCGAACAGGAUUAGAUACCCCAGUAGUCCAGGCAU
This 462-nucleotide ribosomal RNA is filed under the name uncultured bacterium. RNAcentral's name for it is "bacterial SSU rRNA". It matches the Rfam family "Bacterial small subunit ribosomal RNA", at positions 329 to 802 of the family's 1533-position model. The record is from RNAcentral.